This 157-nucleotide unclassified non-coding RNA is filed under the name uncultured fungus. Its description in RNAcentral is "sequence contains ITS1". The record is from RNAcentral. Lineage: Eukaryota; Fungi.
UCUUGGCGAAGUACGCGGUACAGAGGCAGGGCCGUUCACGUAUCAGGUGGAUGAUCUCUUGUUCAGUAUUAAUGUGGAUGAUGAUAUGGAACAGCCGGGACGCAAAAUGGUAUUAGGUCUGGUGGAAGGCUUAAGCUCAGGUGGUUUUACGAUGGAG